UUUCCACUUUCAAUAAGCGGAGGAAAAGAAACUAACAAGGAUUCCCCUAGUAACGGCGAGUGAAGCGGGAAGAGCUCAAAUUUGUAAUCUGGCACUUUCAGUGUCCGAGUUGUAAUCUCGAGAAGUAUUUUCCGCGCCGGACCGCAUACAAGUCUGUUGGAAUACAGCGUCAUAGUGGUGAGAACCCCGUAACUGAUGCGGAUGCCCGGUGCUUUGUGAUAUACUUUCGAAGAGUCGAGUUGUUUGGGAAUGCAGCUCAAAUUGGGUGGUAAAUUCCAUCUAAAGCUAAAUAUUGGAGCAAGACCGAUAGCGAACAAGUACCGUGAGGGAAAGAUGAAAAGCACUUUGGAAAGAGAGUUAACAGUACGUGAAAUUGUUGGAAGGGAAACGCUUGAAGUCAGACUUGCUAUUCGGAGUUCAGCCGCAAGGUGUAUUCUUCGAUUUGCAGGCCAGCAUCAGUUUUUGGGGGUGGAAAAUCGUGGUUUGAAGGUAGCAGUUUCGGCUGUGUUAUAGCUUUCCACUGGAUUCAUCUUCGGGGACUGAGGAACGCAGUACGCUUUUUGCAAGGCUUUCGAGCUUUUCGUACUUAGGACU
This 594-nucleotide ribosomal RNA is filed under the name Leucosporidium creatinivorum. RNAcentral describes it as "LSU rRNA". It matches the Rfam family "Eukaryotic large subunit ribosomal RNA", at positions 33 to 639 of the family's 3401-position model. Lineage: Eukaryota; Fungi; Basidiomycota; Microbotryomycetes; Leucosporidiales; Leucosporidiaceae. The record is from RNAcentral.